This 254-nucleotide ribosomal RNA is filed under the name uncultured bacterium. RNAcentral describes it as "partial 16S ribosomal RNA". It matches the Rfam family "Bacterial small subunit ribosomal RNA", at positions 524 to 776 of the family's 1533-position model. The record is from RNAcentral.
UACGGGGGGAGCAAGCGUUGUUCGGAUUUACUGGGCGUAAAGGGCGCGUAGGCGGUCACUACAAGUCAGUUGUGAAAUCUCUGGGCUUAACUCAGAACGGUCAACUGAUACUGUCGGACUAGAGUGCAGAAGGGGCAACUGGAAUUCUCGGUGUAGCGGUGAAAUGCGUAGAUAUCGAGAGGAACACCUGCGGCGAAGGCGGGUUGCUGGGCUGACACUGACGCUGAGGCGCGAAAGCUAGGGGAGCGAACAGG